GAUGAACGCUGGCGGCGUGCCUAAUACAUGCAAGUCGAGCGAACAGAUGAGGAGCUUGCUCCUCUGACGUUAGCGGCGGACGGGUGAGUAACACGUGGAUAACCUACCUAUAAGACUGGGAUAACUUCGGGAAACCGGAGCUAAUACCGGAUAAUAUAUUGAACCGCAUGGUUCAAUAGUGAAAGACGGUUUUGCUGUCACUUAUAGAUGGAUCCGCGCCGCAUUAGAUAGUUGGUAAGGUAACGGCUUACCAAGGCAACGAUGCGUAGCCGACCUGAGAGGGUGAUCGGCCACACGGGAACUGAGACACGGUCCAGACGCCUACGGGAGGCAGCAGUAGGGAAUCUGCCGCAAUGGGCGAAAGCCUGACGGAGCAACGCCGCGUGAGUGAUGAAGGUCUUCGGAUCGUAAAACUCUGUUAUUAGGGAAGAACAAAUGUGUAAGUAACUAUGCACGUCUUGACGGUACCUAAUCAGAAAGCCACGGCUAACUACGUG
This 497-nucleotide ribosomal RNA is filed under the name uncultured bacterium. RNAcentral's name for it is "partial 16S ribosomal RNA". It matches the Rfam family "Bacterial small subunit ribosomal RNA", at positions 28 to 507 of the family's 1533-position model. The record is from RNAcentral.